Molecule: long non-coding RNA, 687 nt
Organism: Hippocampus comes (tiger tail seahorse)
Lineage: Eukaryota; Metazoa; Chordata; Actinopteri; Syngnathiformes; Syngnathidae
Exons: 2
Source: RefSeq, a predicted model, not a curated record
GAGGAGCGGCCUAAAUGCCAGCUUGUGUGUCGCCCGGCAGCGCGGCAGGGCGUUCGAUCGUGCUCUGCUCAGUGAAAAGGCCUUCACGCGACACAGACAGAACAAACUUGUUGCCAGGCGACAUUGCGUGGCAAAAAACGGAAGGGGAAGAGGAGCAAACAGAUACACGAUUGAAAUCACGAAAAAAAAAAAAAAAAGCGACCCAAUAAGAGCCCCGGCAAACAUACCGUACCGCCGAUGCGAUUCUGCCUUUUUUUUUGUAGCACUCUACAAAAUCACUUUGCUCCUUUUAACCUGUGAAAUGUUUUGCUUUUUGGCAUGCUGAGCCGUUUUCCUUCAACUCAAGAUGCAAGGUCACCGAAAAGAAGCAGUUGAGCGCGCUGCCAGACGACUCAUCAGCCACAUACUAAGCUGAACGGCCGCCAGUGUUGGAUCCCUCAGUGGACCGAAACAUUUCCUCGUUCGCUAAGAAUUGCCAUUUAAGCUGCCCGCCACCCUUUGCUGUUUAACCUCAUGAGUCCAAGGACGACACCUCACCAUUGCCCAACCUCCGAGCUUGCACUGUCACAGAGAGAGAGACUGGAAGAGUCACAGAAAGGCAUCGAAGCGGACGUCCUUGGAACUAUAGUGUGGUGAAUGUUACCGUUGAGAACAGCGAGUCGUGCAAAAAAGAAAUGAAACAAUCAA